RNAcentral lists this ribosomal RNA (442 nucleotides) under uncultured bacterium. RNAcentral's name for it is "partial 16S ribosomal RNA". It matches the Rfam family "Bacterial small subunit ribosomal RNA", at positions 338 to 795 of the family's 1533-position model. The record is from RNAcentral.
CCUACGGGUGACAGCAGUGGGGAAUAUUGGGCAAUGGGCGCAAGCCUGACCCAGCAACGCCGCGUGAAGGAAGAAGGCUUUCGGGGUGUAAAAUUCUUUUAAGAGGGGAGAGCAGAAGACGGUACCUCUUGAAUAAGCCACGGCUAACUACGUGCGAGCAGCCGCGGUAAUACGUAGGUGGCAGGCGUUGUCCGGAUUUAAUGGGUGUAAAGGGCGUGCAGCCGGGAAGACAAGUCAGAGGUGAAAUCCCGCGGCUCAACCGCGGAAUUGCAUUUGAAACUGUUUUUCUUGAGUACCGGAGAGGUCAUCGGAAUUCCUUGUGUAGCGGUGAAAUGCUUAGAUAUAAGGCAGAACACCAGUGGCGAAGGCGGAUGACUGGACGGCAACUGACGGUGAGGCGCGAAAGCGUGGGGAGCAAACAGGAUUAGAUACCCGUGUAGUC